CUCCCCAGGUAGGACUUGAACCUACGACCAAUCGAUUAACAGUCGAUCGCUCUACCACUGAGCUACUGAGGA
Molecule: transfer RNA, 72 nt
Filed under: Teleaulax amphioxeia
Lineage: Eukaryota; Cryptophyceae; Pyrenomonadales; Geminigeraceae
Description: tRNA-Asn
Source: RNAcentral